Molecule: long non-coding RNA, 764 nt
Organism: Salvia miltiorrhiza (redroot sage)
Lineage: Eukaryota; Viridiplantae; Streptophyta; Magnoliopsida; Lamiales; Lamiaceae
Exons: 2
Source: RefSeq, a predicted model, not a curated record
AAUUCCAGCCCAAAAGUCAGGCUGUACAAUCCCAACUUUUCUGCCAAAUCAAAUGCGCCAUAUUAAUUUGACAUUUUUCCACAACUAAUUUUUCCUAUCUAUGCUACCAUGCCUUAAAAGUAGCCUCUCUUUCAACACUUAACAUCACUACCCACUCCCACCACCAACUCCCUGCAAAAGCCAUGCCUAAGGCUCUCUACUCCUCUGCUUAAUCCAAGCACAACCCUCUCAGUUUAGCAUCCUCACCAUUCAACAGAACUCCUUCUCACAAUUAAAAAAAAAAAGAGAAAAGACUCAAGUGCAAAAAUCGAUUCAGUGAGGUCCAGUUUUACAGUAGCAAAUCAAACACCAAACUUCAACCAAGAUCAGAUGACAACAACGCAGCCUGACCCAAGUUUCUUAAGCAGCCAAACCAUUCCAGUUUCCAGCCGCACAAACCCAACCGAUUCUAUUAAAGGUUGAGCAGCUGAUGGAAUGGAAUGAUGUUGAGCGGGUGUUCCUUUGACAUUUCAAGAAAUGUAACCUUGAGUAUACAUCUUCAUAUGUAUAUCUCACACGUUUUCCGCUGCAAAACACUUUAAUUAGAAUAACUCUAUGUUAUGAAGUUGUGACACGUGUUAUUGGGUAACCCACCUUAAUCAGUUCUCCUUCAUGUGUAUGUUUUAUAAGUAUCCAAAUGAUCAUAUAUGAUCCUAGCAUCUUAUCUAUGAGUGACAUUCUCAUAUACCUUAAUGUUAAGUAAUUGUCCAUUUCCAUUUCUUAUU